UUCUGGUAUUCAGCAUUUAGGUUUUGGAACUUCUUGGGCUACGGUCUCAUCACUUGCAUAGGAGUCUCCACACACCUGCAGUUGCAGUUGUGCUAAUAAUGGCUCUGAAUAAAAGUGUAUUGGUGGAGACAUCCAUCAAUUUUGAAUGAAGUGAUACAAUGGACACAUUUCAGACUUGGAAAACACUGAAGCCCAGAAUGGGAGUUCCUCACAGUCCGGACUUUCUGGGAGACUGAUUUCUAGACUAAGGGAUUAGAGAGUGGUGCUGAGCCAAGAGAACUCUUGGAGUGACCAUCCUUACCCAGCAAAUGGCAGGCUUCAUCUCCUAGAAGCAGUACUUUGUGGCUAUUGGAUCUGAGUCUUCAAAGGGUCAAUGUUCUUUCAAAUUCUUGAAAGCAUGCCACAAACAGAUAACAUCCCCCUAUUGUAUAUGUAGAUAAAAGGAGACAAAAAUUGUGUACCUCCAAGAGUCUGUGAGUCCUACAGAUGAUGCCAUCUGAUAUCUGAUGCCAUUUCUGAGAUCUUUUCAGUACAGUGAGUACUGUUUCACUCUGUGUGUUCUUCAUUUCUGUAUCACAGAAUUCCAUGGGGCCAUAAUGAUACUAACACAACAUGAGAGCUAGAAAAAGGAAAGCCACUUAUGCAAACUAAUUGUUUGCCAUUCUAGUGGCUUAGACUGCUGUCCUACAUAGUUCAUGAAAUGAGUAACUUAUUUCACGUUAAUAUCCCCAUGUCUGAGUUCUUGUCUCAAAUAUUUGCCCAAUACCUACUCUGUGCUAAUAAUAUAAAAAUUUAAAUUUAAAUAAAAAUGAAAUGAGUAUUCCAUAAGAGUCCACUAGCCACAUACCCUUAAGUAUAUAUGUCCUUAGGGGAUAUUACCAAACUGACCAUCUGUUUACUAAAUCAUAAGAAAAAGUGUUUUGAUAAUUAUAAUUUAAAGCAUAGCCAUACCUUUUUUCCCUUAGUUACUGCUUGGAAAUAAGGGAAAGCGGGAGAAUGUCACCAAAACAUACAAUAAUUCCAAAUUUCCAAGUGCUAAAAUGAUGUAAGUAUUGUAGUUAAACUCAUUAGACUUGUAAUGAAAAUAUGAUUCUAAUUGUAUGUCUUAAAAAUCUAAAUAUUUUUAGAGAAGAGUUAUGUGUCUAAUAAAAGUCAGCACCAUUAUGUGAACAAUGAGGCAAAAAUAUAUCAAACAUGAAAUUACUUAUGUUGGAGUUGUCAAACUGUGUGCAGAUCUUGACAAGUGCAAUCAGGUUUCAAAUAUCAGUUGAUACAUAGUUCCCAUCCAAUUGCCCUGAGUAAUUGUGAUUGUCAACUUCAGGGGAUUAAAAUACGCCUAGAAUGUUAGGGAAGCCCACCUGUUCAUGUGUCUUUGUGAGUAUGUUCUUAUACAGUUUGAACAUGACAGCUCUGAAUUCUUGGAGGGAUUCAUCCAUUGACAAAUAUGGAUGUUUAGUAUCCUACAGGAAGUGGUGAGACUAUGGCAUGUAGGGCAUGGAUGAAGGAAGCAGGUUACUAGGUAUGCAUCCCUGGGACUCUGUCUUACCCUGGUCCUUUCCUGUUGAGUCUCCUGCUCUGCUUUCUUUCUUUUCUUUUUCUCUAAUUUAUUUUUUCUUCU
This is a long non-coding RNA of Peromyscus californicus insignis, 1618 nucleotides long. RefSeq lists it as uncharacterized. The transcript is spliced from 3 exons. The record is from RefSeq and is a predicted model, not a curated record. Lineage: Eukaryota; Metazoa; Chordata; Mammalia; Rodentia; Cricetidae.